UCGGCAAUGGACGAAAGUCUGACCGAGCAACGCCGCGUGAGUGAAGAAGGUUUUCGGAUCGUAAAGCUCUGUUGUAAGUCAAGAACGUGUGUGAGAGUGGGAAGUUCACACAGUGACGGUAGCUUACCAGAAAGGGACGGCUAACUACGUGCCAGCAGCCGCGGUAAUACGUAGGUCCCGAGCGUUGUCCGGAUUUAUUGGGCGUAAAGGGAGCGCAGGCGGUCAGGAAAGUCUGGAGUAAAAGGCUAUGGCUCAACCAUAGUGUGCUCUGGAAACUGUCUGACUUGAGUGCAGAAGGGGAGAGUGGAAUUCCAUGUGUAGCGGUGAAAUGCGUAGAUAUAUGGAGGAACACCAGUGGCGAAAGCGGCUCUCUGGUCUGUCACUGACGCUGAGGCUCGAAAGCGUGGGUAGCGAACAGGAUUAGAUACCCUGGUAGUCCACGCCGUAAACGAUGAGUGUUAGGUGUUAGGCCCUUUCCGGGGCUUAGUGCCGGAGCUAACGCAAUAAGCACUCCGCCUGGGGAGUACGACCGCAAGGUUGAAACUCAAAGGAAUUGACGGGGGCCCGCACAAGCGGUGGAGCAUGUGGUUUAAUUCGAAGCA
This 602-nucleotide ribosomal RNA is filed under the name Streptococcus mutans. RNAcentral's name for it is "bacterial SSU rRNA". It matches the Rfam family "Bacterial small subunit ribosomal RNA", at positions 365 to 958 of the family's 1533-position model. The record is from RNAcentral. Lineage: Bacteria; Bacillati; Bacillota; Bacilli; Lactobacillales; Streptococcaceae.